UCCUUAGUGGUCCAGUGGCUAAGACUCUGCACUCCCAAUGCAGGAGAUUUGGGUUCAAUCCUUGGUCAAGGAA
This 73-nucleotide transfer RNA is filed under the name Ovis aries (sheep). It matches the Rfam family "tRNA". From Rfam's summary of the family: Transfer RNA (tRNA) molecules are approximately 80 nucleotides in length. The record is from Rfam by way of RNAcentral. Lineage: Eukaryota; Metazoa; Chordata; Mammalia; Artiodactyla; Bovidae.